UACGUAGGGUGCGAGCGUUACUCGGAAUUACUGGGCGUAAAGCGUGCGCAGGCGGUUUUGUAAGCCAGAUGUGAAAUCCCCGGGCUUAACCUGGGAAUGGCAUUUGGGACUGCAAGGCUGGAGUUUGGCAGAGGAGACUGGAAUUCCCGGUGUAGCAGUGAAAUGCGUAGAUAUCGGGAGGAAUACCGAUGGCGAAGGCAGGUCUCUGGGCUAUAACUGACGCUCAUGCACGAAAGCGUGGGGAGCAAACAGG
This 253-nucleotide ribosomal RNA is filed under the name uncultured bacterium. RNAcentral's name for it is "partial 16S ribosomal RNA". It matches the Rfam family "Bacterial small subunit ribosomal RNA", at positions 524 to 776 of the family's 1533-position model. The record is from RNAcentral.